AGAGACCCCGGGGCAGAGACAGGGGCAAGAAGAAGGGGCCACCGAGACCCCAAGAGAGUCAGGGAGACAGACGCACCAAACGACCGACACAACCAGGGACAGCAGGGAGGAAAAGUUGCCUAUCUGUUGGGUCAGAUUUCUGAAGACUGAUGAGGCCCAUUUUCUGGCUGGAGUGAAAUGACAUGAUCUCAGCUCACUGAAACUUCUGCCUCCCAGGUUCAAGCAAUUCUCCUGCCUCAGCCUCGCGAGUAGCUGGGAUUACAGAUAUCCUUCGAGUUGGAUUUCGACUGGGUUCUGCCAGUGGGAUGUAUCCAUGCGAGAUUCUGGAACUAACAUCAGAGAGAGUCCAAGCUUCUAACUUUUAUCAGCGGCAGUGACAAUAGUCAAGCAGCAUUGAUGACAAACGGCAAGAGUUUAGAAAGUACCAGUGACGUGCCUGAUAGAAUCUCACCACAAGAUGGAAGCCAACUCGUCAGAAGCCUGGAAAGCCCACCCAGCGUGGGACCUCUGUGGGUCCAGGAUCUUGGAAUGGUAUCCCAUGGUUCAAUCUUCUGGAUUCAACCACAUAAAUUUACCCCACCCAUGUCGUGGACCCAAGCUUCCUACCAUGUAUACUUAGCUUAAAUGCAAGAUAGUACUAUUUUGUUCAUCUUGAUUGGAGUGAGAAAUGAAUAGGUCCAUGCACAUAUAUUUCUUUUACCACAACAAGAUGAUGAAGAAAUAAAUCCAUAAUAUCGAUACUUUUGUAUAAGUUGUGUUUACAGUUGCGGUAAGAAAUUUUAUAAUUGUUGAUUUGCUUUAUAUAAUUUCUGCUUGCUUUUUAUGAUAUUUAAAACAAAAUCUAAGCAACAAAUUUUAUGUCUGAUUAGAUUUACAGAAGCUGCUUAAGUGCUUAGGGAUAAUUUGUUCAUCAUAUUUGUAAGUCUCCCUUGUUAGGUGUUUGAAGUGUUUGAAUUGGCUAAAUUAAAUUUGUAAUUGUAGUUUGAAAUAUCUAAAGGAAUUUUCUUAAUUAAGUGUUUAAAUGAUGUUAAAAGUUUGUGGGAAUUUAAUCUAUCAAAUUUAUGAGUUAAUUGAAUAUGAAUCAAUGAACAAGUAAAUGUGAUCUUGCUUUUAUAUAAAAACUACUAAGUUCAUAAAUAAAAUACAAAGAUCCAUAAGUUGAGAGGAAAAGCAAAA
This 1176-nucleotide long non-coding RNA is filed under the name Homo sapiens (human). Its description in RNAcentral is "HSALNT0291155". Lineage: Eukaryota; Metazoa; Chordata; Mammalia; Primates; Hominidae. The record is from RNAcentral.